RNAcentral lists this ribosomal RNA (465 nucleotides) under Vreelandella stevensii. RNAcentral describes it as "partial 16S ribosomal RNA". It matches the Rfam family "Bacterial small subunit ribosomal RNA", at positions 338 to 795 of the family's 1533-position model. Lineage: Bacteria; Pseudomonadati; Pseudomonadota; Gammaproteobacteria; Oceanospirillales; Halomonadaceae. The record is from RNAcentral.
CCUACGGGCGGCAGCAGUGGGGAAUAUUGGACAAUGGGCGAAAGCCUGAUCCAGCCAUGCCGCGUGUGUGAAGAAGGCCUUCGGGUUGUAAAGCACUUUCAGUGGGGAAGAAAGCCUUGGGGCUAAUACCCUCGAGGAAGGACAUCACCCACAGAAGAAGCACCGGCUAACUCCGUGCCAGCAGCCGCGGUAAUACGGAGGGUGCGAGCGUUAAUCGGAAUUACUGGGCGUAAGGCGCGCGUAGGCGGUCUGAUAAGCCGGUUGUGAAAGCCCCGGGCUCAACCUGGGAACGGCAUCCGGAACUGUCAGGCUAGAGUGCAGGAGAGGAAGGUAGAAUUCCCGGUGUAGCGGUGAAAUGCGUAGAGAUCGGGAGGAAUACCAGUGGCGAAGGCGGCCUUCUGGACUGACACUGACGCUGAGGUGCGAAAGCGUGGGUAGCAAACAGGAUUAGAUACCCUUGUAGUC